AGGGAGAUGCGGUGAUGGCCGACGGCUGAAAGAUGGCCGAUCGAGUGCAGCCAUGGCAGACGCACGAGGGAGGCAGCAGCAAUCGGGAAGCUCGCGUCAAGGCCUUGCGAUGGAGGCCAGCGUUGCAGCAGCAGAAUGGAUCGGCGGUGCCAGCAGCUUCAAGAGGCUUCAGUCGUGGCAUUGGAAGCUCCAACGGCCGUCAAUGGCCGCUGGUUGCAGCGGGGCUGGUCGCGCAUAGGCAGGGCAUGCACGGGGGAGGCCGAUGGCAGUUGCGGCGGCGCGGGGAAUCGUCAGAGAGGGCCGGAGGUGCGGCCAUAGCAGCGUGAAGCUGCUGUUGCAGCAGCUAGGCGGCCAUGGCAGCGCGCAGCUACUGCAAGCAACGAAGCGGGCGAACGAUGGCAACGACUGAGGCGCGCGAGGAGGUUGGUUCCAGUGGCAGCGAAUCGCGGCAGAGGUGGUGGCCAGCCUGUGGCCGCGGGUAGCAGCGGCGGUCGGCGAGCCAGGUGUGGGUGGCGGCUGCCUUGUGCGAAGAAGAAGGAGGAAUAGUGCUCGGGCGUGGGAGAGAAGAAGAAAGGGGAAGAAGGAAUAGAAAGAAAAGAAAAAAAAAAGAAAGAAAUAUAAAAUAAGGAAAAAUAUGGAAAAUAAGGAAAAAUAGGAAAAAAUUUCAAAAAAUUUCCAGAAAAUUUUGAAAAUUAUUUCAAGGCUUGUGAAGCGUGUCGAAAGCUCGAAAAUGUGGUUUUGGGCGCAAGUGGCAGCUCGGGAGCCAAUGCCGGUGUGGGUGUCUGAUCGAUUUUCUCCUUCAAAUUAGUUGAGGUUCGGUCGGGUAGACGGUGAUCCUAGAAGAGCUCGGAGUUCGGGCUGGAGUUCGUGCCGAAGCCGAGAUGAGGCUUCGAGCCAGAUGAUGCAAGUCCAGAUGCAAGCAGGGAUGGUGCCGGGAGGCUAUUGUGGCAAUUAGCUUGUUGCCUGAGAUGUGUUGUUAUGUAAUCUCUUGUAUUCUUUUAUAUGUAUUCAUGGGUUUAAAUGUAAACGAUAUUGAGCACUAGAUGUACUUAAUUGUUGAAAUCAUCGUAGUGUGAUAAAUGAUUGUGAGAUUGUUCGUGGUAUAUGGCUUAGUUGGAGAAGCCGAGUUUCGGAUCGAGUAAAGAUCAGCAAGGUAUGUUCUCAUAAAUCCUCAAUACUCAGCGACGUGUUUUUAUGCUAGCUUUGUGCCUAGCUCACCUCUGGCUUGUUAUGGGCGAGCUGAAGAGAGGUGAAGCUCACUCGGGUUUUGGGUCUUGGUCCGCUGGAUUUUUCUUGUUUGAGUUGGGACCGAUUCCUGAGUAGAGUGAAGGGAAGGACGAAACCUAGUUCCCACCUAGGGCGUUUCCUGUUGAAACAUAGUCCAACCCUUCAGUUGUGGUUUGUCGGGUGAGUAAUCCGGUCGAUUAUUUACCGGUGACGCCCAUAAGUGGGAGCGGGUUGUUACAGUUGGUAUUAGAGCAUGGCUAGCUAUAUAAGUGAGGAAGGCUAGCGUGCUUAAGUGUUAAGUGUGGUCGAUUAAGUGAUUGAUGUGAGAGACUGCUAGAGUAUUGAGUCUAGGGUUGUCUGGCAUGAUUAGAAUGUAAGUCGGAAUGUCUUAACUGCUAAGUUGGGGUCGAGAAUAAUUGAUUUGAAAUUUUGAGAUUUCAAUGUGAGGUUGGUCCGAUAACCUUGAAAGUUGGACAUGUGGACCGAAGACCCUAAGGGAUUGGGUCAAGUCAUUGAGGCCUACAAUGGUAUGUUUGGAUAUCCUUGUUCUUGGGAUGAGAAAAUACCCUCGAUUGAGAUGAUAUACCUGUGAGAGGUAUACGGGUUGAGCAAUGAGGAACCGAAAACCCAAGUGUGGGUGUGGUGUCAAGAAACCCGAAUUUUUGAAUUUUGGGUAAUAUUAAGUGUUCUAGGGAUGAUAACUCCUUGAAGUUGAAGUGUCGAGGCUUGUGUGGGGACACGAAGCCGAGGCAUGACUAGUUCGGGAAGGGAUUAGAGGAGCGUCCCUAUGUCAAGGAUUCGCCGAGCAUGUUCGAGGGAAUAGAGUUAUCCCUUGGAAGCGGUGCAGUAAGGCGUGUGCGCUUGAGAUAAAAUGAGCUAAAGUGGGUGUUAGCUCAGGGCUCAAGGAAAACAGUCGUUAAUCGACUAUGUGACGAGCUCCUGGGAGUAAAGUUAAUUGUAGUAAGGCUUUAUGGGGAGCGUGCAUGUAAUGCAUCUGUAUGUCAUGGCCAAUGACGGCAUGAAGUAAGUAGCAUCCGGAAGGACUAUGAGGGGAGUCAGGAUGCUAAAUGUAUGUGAUGCGAUGUGAUCGUAUUGUUAUGAUGAUCCUAGAGGGGACGUGCCUAGGGUAUAAGUGGACCCUAGUUGGCUUCACGAUGAGGCGAGGUUUAUCUUUGGGAAUGAUAGGCGUGUGGCAAGUGGACCCUAGUGGGUGUUUGCAUGAGAUGGAAGUCCCAAGUGAGUUGAGCUAGAAUCCAGGGGGAUCCAGAUUUGGGAUUAUGGAGUUGGGCAUGCGUUGAUAUGCACGUGAGAGCCAUUGGAUUAGAAGUCCUAGUUAUGUAGGGCUAAGUGACCGUUCAUGUGAUUGAUGGAUGAGGGGCUAAUCAAAACUCUCGUUAUGACGCUUGGGCUCUGGUGGGACGCCUAAGGUAGGGAGAUGAGAGGUGAAUAGACCCUUAUCAUGAUGCCUGGGGUCGUGAUGACGCCUAAGGUCUCGAGACCCUUGAUGGGAGACGCGGAGGUCACCCAAUGAAGGGUAUGAACGGGUGUGUGUGGUCCGAGGGUGAUGAGUGUGUGGCAACAGGACAUCCAUAGGCUAUGCACGUAAUGGAAAUGCCAACUUCGAAUGCUAAAUAGACAAGGGCAUGGUGAGCAAUGUGGAGGCCCCGAAUUGUAAAUUCCAAGUUAUGGAAGGCCAGGCCGAGCGUCGUGACUAAAUGCACUGUGGGUGUGCAAGGAGAGACGAGAGGUCUCGAUUUACCUAGAAAGUAAUGGUAGGUGCCCUAUGGUUAUGGGUGCCGGAGCUUGAGGUAUGAUCUCGUGGGGUAAGAUCAUGAGGCCUCAAGAGGAAAAGUGGUUUGAGAGUCUCGUAAGCGGUAAGAGAUGUAGAGUCUGAAGAAGUGAGGCUCAUGGUAUGAGCUUGAGGUUAUCAAGGCAAGGAUAACCAAGUAAGAUGGUUUUGGUCGAGGGUGGUGGAACCAUCGUAGCUUGGGAGGCUUUAAGUAGCUUCAAUGCUAUGGGUGCAAGGCUCAUAGUGACGGAUUUGAUGCUAUGGACCGUGUGGCAGAGGACUAAUGAGUUGGCUCGUGUUGAGGGCAAGUGGCCCAUGGGCCUGAGCAAUUUAGUGAACUGCCGGUGAUGGUCAGAUCCCGAAGAGCUAGAGCAGCACCUUAAGAAAUUUGAUCAGGUGAGACCGAGAAUCUCCUGCAAGGGAUAGGACAUCUAGGGUAGUCCUAAGGAAUCGUGGAACACGGUAAUGAUUCGAUAGAUUUUGCCGAGUAGGAAGCCUGGUAAGGAUAGGCUACGAGCGUGGCGAGGUAGUCAUGCUGGGUUUGAUAUCAGAAGUGUGACUGGAAGGCUGAAAGUCACAUUAUGGGGUGCGAAAUAGAUCAGAGUGGGACCUGAGCCAUGCUGUUGGAAACUGUUGUUGGGCCAGUGUAAGGGAGCAACACGGUAAUAAUGAUUGGGUGUUGACUCUUCGAAGCACAGGGCAACACGAUGGGGAACCAGUGUUGGGCCAGUGUAUGGGAGUGACAUAGUAAUGAUGACCAGGUGUUGGCUCGCCUAAAGCACAGGGCAACACAGUGAUUAUGCAGGUGGUCAGGGGCUAAAGAUUUGUGAGAUGCACGGUAAGGGUGACGAAAGCUGUAGUCAGUUCCGCAACUUAGCUGUGAGUAAUAAGCAGUGUUGAGGUGGUUUAGUGUCUCGGGAUGUUUGAGAAAGAAACCCGGGAAAAAGAAACGGGUCUAGCGUGGGAAUAACGCUACAGUUGAUGCCUAUUGUUGACGGGUCUAAUGCUAAGGACCACUGGAUAUAAACGGUUAGUUCACGGGAGGGACUGCAGCCCUUUAUGUGGAGUAACUUGUCUGCGGUGGAGACCGUUAGACGCCGAAGACUUGGGGUAUGCUGUAGGUUAUGUUUGGGCCAGACCUAAAAUUUCCGUGAGGGUUGAAGAAUCCUGGUAGUGUCUUUUGUUGUUAUGGUAACAGAAGGUUUGUGAAUCAAUUGGGUGAUAUCUUGUGAUAUGAUAACAAGAUGUGCGGCGAUGCUCCUUGCUAAAGGAUGCUAACGCAGUUGUGGUUAAAUUUAACCGAAAUGAUUAUGGUAAAUUGAGAGGAUGGACCUUGUGUGACCUUGCGGUGAUGCAAGAAGAUGGGUCGAUUGGUGGAGUCGGUAAAUGGCUCUAGAAUGUUACGUAAGUGUCGUGGAGGGCGAGACUUACGAGUUAGAAGCCAACCAUGAGAUGGUAUUAUUGAAGCGUGCAAAAGUUUCAGGUAUGAGGAUCUCUAAUCAUGUGAUGUGAGUUGUGGUAGGCUGAACGUGUGGUUAAGGCAUGGUUUAGAAAUCCGUGAAGGCUCGCAAGUGCACAGUCUAGUGUUAAUCCUGAUGUGUCGAUGCGAAAAUGAGGAAGUAUCCUCAUGUAGCACUGGAUGGAUUUCCGGUUGAUGACACAAGAUUAGUUGCCAGGUGGUAGCACCUGAUGGCAAUGGUGGGAGCUUGAGGCUCAAAGACUGUGACGUAAAGCCUUGUUGAUUGACCGUGUAUAUAAAGGUUCAGCGGGUCCUGGUGGUUAGACUAGGCGAAUUGUGAGAAAGAGAUCCAAGGUGAUAAAAGAUGGUUGGUCAAGGAAAAGUUGUGCCACUUGAAGGAGUGCUACUCUGUAGCAAGAGUUAUAGAUGGUAGUGUUGAAAUGUGGCCUAGGUAGAACUUGAGAUGUUCUCCCAAGAAAAGUUGGGUAUGGGGUCACAACACUAGAUGAACCUCCUAAGGUACAAUAACUCUAUCAGGAGGGAUCACUCGGGAAAAGCCAGAGUAAUAGUGAGUGCCUGAGUAGGAAGAGGAGUCCUACGGCAUCAAGUGGAAGUGUGUGUUCCACAUGAUUGGUUGAGGUGAUUUCCAAUGGGUGGAGUUUAAAUCGAAGUCAUAGUCGAUGAUUUUAAGUGUAGUGCCUGGAGGAAGCAUGUGUUGGUUGUGAGCCGGGCGAUCCGGCUUGAGCUAAUCGAGUUGGUUAGAUGGAAGAUGAGGGUGAAUUUAAGAUGUUGCUAGUGGGUGACGAGAGCUCGAAAGAAGAGCUAGUGGGACGAGAUUGGUUCCCAGAAAUGGUGUUUAGGUGAUGAAAUCACUUGAUAGCUGUGAGUGCUAUACUUAGGGUGAUGCCUUGGUGUGGGCAAUUGAUGAGAUUUAGCCUCGUGGUUAGAGAGGUUAAUGAGAGUGAGGGGAAAUCAUCCGGGGAGCCGAUUGGUGACCGGCUAGGGGUAGCCAAUGGCGACCGAAGACGCCGACCGAUGAUAGCAGCAGGAGCAAUGUAGCGGCCGGCCAGGGUCGUGGGGCGUCGUGAGAGUAGUCGGUCAGUGGCAUAGGUGGCUCCUGAGUCGCGGUUGCGAUUGGAUGUGGCGCUAAGCGAUGGAAAGAGGUCGUCUUAGUUGAUGAUGAUGACAUUAGAGCCAAUGUGGUCGCUCACUGAGGUGUGAGUUGAUUGAAGCAAAAGUUAUAAGAAGUCUGAGAGAAGCCAGAGUCUCUCAGGGUAUUAGCUAGCUGCUAUAAGCAUAGCAAAGUGAUAUGAGGAAGGCGGCCUAAGAGUGGGGUCGUGCCGGUUGCGUUGAGCAGGGAGAUUCAUGGAGCAAUGAGUCUUUUGAGAUGGCAUGGUAGUGUCAUCGUCGCUGUUAGGGAAAAGAUGUCAGGAAGGUUAAAGAUAACCAUUUUGCAUGGUAAGACCUUGAAGCCGAGUGUGAAUGGCCAUGAAGGCUGGUGCCUGUAAAAUUUCAGAUGCAACGACCGUGUAAGGAAAAUUCGUUGCUAUUCUAGUGUUGUCCUUGCCGAGGAGAACAAAAGAAACCAUUAUGCAUGGUUUAAAUCAGGUGUCAAAUGAGGAUUGAGAAUGAACCUGAUUUUGGAUGGCUGAAAGUUUCAUGCCUCUAGAGUAAGAGGCUUUGUUGAGAAAUGGUGAGAUUUGAAAAGUUCCAAUGAAAUUGAAGCUGGGCGAGUAAAUUUGGCUAGAAGACUGCUACAAGAGUAGGGGUGUAACCAUGAUAGCUUGUUGUGGUGUGGACCAAAGGCACGAGUCAUCCUACAAGUGUGAUGCAUAAGUGAUUGUGCAGAUGGUAAUAAGCCAAUCACUUGUGCCACGCACCGUGGGUGAUGAUGAGGGUCGAUUACUGGUUUCGCGACCUUAAGCGCAAUGGUAGGAUCCUGGACUCGUGGUAGGGUUAAACAGCCAAGGUAAGGCCUAGCAUGGGGCAUGACUGUGAAGGCCAAAAUGAGGUGAAGAUUUGUAGGGGGUUGCUCAGUGAAGAGUUCCCUGUUAUGGGUAUGAGACCCUUACUAACGUGCAAUAUCGGCCAGUAAGAAAGGCCAAAGUAUCUCUGUGUGCUUAUGCGAAGAGCUUCUAGUUUGAAGAAGGUUGUGGCCCGAGUAUGGUUAAGCUCGAGGUGAGAAUAUAAUGGUGCGUGCAUCGCUAAGCUCGAGGUGAACUCGGGAAGUGCGUGUAUAGUUGAAAUGUGAAAUGGCCUGGCAUGGUGUUGGGUAAAUCGAUUAUGCAUAAUCGUAUUGACAAAUAAAGGUCGGUUGGUCAAGGUAGAAGACCAUGUAUGAAAUGGUCUGAGUUGGCUGGGUGAGCCAAAUGGUUGCUUCCCAUGUAGUGCUAGCAUGGUUAGUUGAUCGAUAAUGAGAAGUUGCCAUGAGGAUCAACUCAAGCUGUGCAUGCUUGUGAUUAAUGGCGGUAUGCCAUGGUGGCAUAGGUGUCAGAGUGUCUUAUUGGCACUAGAAGUGACAUUGCGGCUGAUGGUCAGUGCUAAAACAUUGCUAGUUGGACCAGCGUAAAAUCGUGGCCAUGUGUGUUUGGCAAUGGGAAACAUUGUCGUGUGUGAUCGGUGUAAAAUCGUGGUAGACUGAUCAGUGAUGCAAUGUUAGAGAGAGUUCGUUUGAUUUGAUGGGAAAAUGGGAAGUAAAUGCAAAGUGAUGCUUCAAGGCAGAGAAAAUUCAUCCAAAGAUGGACAUCGUUGUAGUAAGCACGACCAGCUACUAGUGGUGCGGUUUGGCUGGAGGCCAAACGGUAUUUGGUUGAUAAAUGUCCUCGAGAGUUGGAGGCCCAAAUGCUUAAGUGAAGCCUUGAGAUGGGAAUAACCUGAGGUAAAGGCUGAGAAAUGGUUCGGCUACGGGAUUCUCGAGUAGGGGAUUCGGAUAGUAGCCUGAGAAUAGGAUUGUCUUGAGCAGGAAGUUCUAGUAAAGUGAAUUUCGAGGGCGAAAUUCUUUAAGGGGGUGGAAUGUAAUACCCGGUAUUACAUGGCAUGAAAAAUAAAUAAUUUUGAUUAUUUUGAAAGGAUCCCGGGUGGCCCGGGAAGCCCAAGAGUAAAUUUUGAGAAAUUAAUUAAUAUAAAUUGCCAAGUUGGCGGUAGGGAGUGCCUCGGGACUUGGAUGUCCAGGGAAGAGGGCAAGAGAUUGAUGAGCGUCUCGAGAUGAGAUUAAUGACGCUGGAAGCGGUCCGACCGGGAAUCAUUUUCAGAAUAAUUUCGGUAUAAGCCCAAAUGGGUGUCAAUACUGAAUGGCUGCAGGGGACCUUUGGGAAGCUGAGGGGACCUUUGGGGUGGUCCGAUUUUGAGAAUAAGGUAACCCUUAAGCGUUUUUAGGUCGAAUAAAGGUCCCAUGCAGGCGCAGGGAUGAAAUCAAUAUUCCCGAGUAAAUGUCGUCAAUUAAUUUUUGAGAAAUCAAGUUAUUGUGUGGCUUUGAUGAUAAUUAAUUAGAACUUGGAGGUCCAAGUGUAAUUAUUAGAAUUCCCAAGUGCAAUUAAUGUUUCUUUAAGUGAAAUUAUGAGAAAUUAGGGGGUUAAUUAUGUAAUUAGUUUAUAUAUAUAUAUAUAUAAAGUGGCAGGCGUGAGGAAGCUUCCUUGAAGCUUCGUGCAUCCUUCUGCCAUUUGAAAUGGUCAUACAAAGAGUGGGAAUGAGCGAGCAGAGAGUGAGAAGAAGAGAGGAGAAAGAGGGAGAUCAAAGAGUCGGGCCGAGAGUAGUCGAGAGAGGGAGAUGCCGUGAUGGCCGGCGGCUGGAAGAUGGCCGAUCGAGUGCAGCCAUGGCAGACGCGUGAGGGAGGCAGCAGAAAUCGGGAGGCUCGCGUCAAGGCCUUGUGAUGGAGGCCAGCGUUGCAGUAGCAGAAUGGAUCGGCGGUGCCAGCAACUUCAAGAGGCUUCAGUCGUGGCAUUGGAAGCUCCAACGGCCGUCAAUGGCCGCUGGUUGCAGCGGGGCUGGUCGCGCAUAGGCAGGGCAUGCACGGGGGAGGCCGAUGGCAGUUGCGGCGGCGCGGCCAUAGCAGCGUGAAGCUUCUGUUGCAGCAGCUAGGCUUCCAUGGCAGCGCGCAGCUGCUGCAAGCAGCGAAGUGGGCGAACGAUGGCAAUGGUUGAGGCGCGCGAGAAGGCUGGUUCCGAUUGCAGCGAAUCGCGGCGGAGGUGGUGGCUAGCCUGUGGCCGCGGGUAGUAGCGACGGUCGGUGAGCCAGGUGUGGGUGGCGACUGCCUUGCGCGAAGAAGAAGGAGGAAUAGUGCUCAGGCGUGGGAGAGAAGAAGAAAGGGGAAGAAGGAAUAGAAAGAAAAGAAAAGAAAUAUAUAAAAUAUGGAAAAAUCUGGAAAAUAAGGAAAAAUUGGAAAAAAUUUCCAAAAAUUUCCAGAAAAUUCUAAAAAUUAUUUCAAGGCCUGUAAAGCGUGUCGGAAGCUCAAAAAUGGGGUUUUGGGCGCAAGUGGCAGCUCGGGAGCCAACGCCGGUGUGGGUGUCUGAUCGGUUUUCUCCUUCAAAUUAGUUGAGGUAAAUUAAUUUAAUUAUUUUAGAGUUAUUUUCAUUAUGUGAGAUAAUGAAUUGUGUUGUAUUGGUUGGAUUGAACCCUCGGUGGAGUUGAUUUGAAAUUUGUUGAUGGAUGGUUUUGCGGUGUGGGGCGAAGUUGAUGGCAUUAGUUUAAUGCCGAAUGUUAAUGGAGUUGAGUUUGUGUGUGUGUUUGCUUCUAGGUUUGGCCGGGUAGACGGUGAUCCUAGAAGAGCUCGGAGUUCGGGCUGGAGUUCGUGCCGAAGCAGAGAUGAGGCUUCGAGCCAGGUAAGAGACAACCCCAUGUGGAGGUGGCCUCGCAAGUUGGUAAAUAUGUUUGAUAAUGUUUUUAUGUUGCAUUGGCAUGUAGUGGUUAUAUCUUGUGUGAUGCAAGACCUAGUAGACCAAUGGCCAUAUGGAGGACUAGUGUGGUAGGGGCUGAUAGGUUGAUGCCUCAAACCUUAGUGGGUUGUGAGGAUGUGUGAGCCUAGCCUCAUUUGCAUGCAUUUGGCAUACAUAAACAUGAUUAUAUUCAUAUUUACAUGCAUUGCACCCUUACUGAGUCUUUGUGACUCAUGAGGUUUUACCUCAUGUGUAGAUGAUGCAAGUCCAGAUGCAAGCAGGGAUGGUGCCGGGAGGCUGUUGUGGCAAUUAGCUUGUUGCCUGAGAUGUGUUGUUAUGUAAUCUCAUGUAUUCUUUUAUAUGUAUUCAUGGGUUUGAAUGUAAACGAUAUUGAGCACUAGAUGUACUUAAUUGUUGAAAUCAUCGUAGUGUGAUAAAUGAUUGUGAGAUUGUUCGUGGUAUAUGGCUUAGUUGGAGAAGCCAAGUUUCGGAUCGAGCAAAGAUCAGCAAGGUAUGUUCUCAUAAAUCCUCAAUACUCAGCGACGUGUUUGUAUGCUAGAUUUGUGCCUGGGUCACCUCUGGCUUGUUAUGGGGUGAGCUGAAGGAAGGUGAAGCUCACUCGGGUUUCGGGUCUUGGUCCUCUGGAUUUUUCUUGUUUGAGUUGGGACCGAUUCCUGAGUGGAGCGAAGGGAAGGACGAAACCUAGUUCCCACCUAAGGCGUUUCCUGUUGAAACAUAGUCCAACCCUUCAGUUGUGGUUUGUCGGGUGAGUAAUCCGGUCGAUUAUUUACCGGUGGCGCCCGUAAGUGGAGGUGGGUUGUUACAGGUUUUUUGAUUUGCGUCUAGGGUCGACCGAGGAGGGGGUGAUCCUAGGAGAGUUCAAAGUUCGGGCUAGAAUUCUCGCCCGUGGCAGAGAUAAGGCUUCGAGCCAGGUAAGGGACGGCCCCAAUGGUGGCGACCAUGCGAAUGUUUGGUAAUAUGGUUAAAUAUAUAUUGUGUGCAGUUGUGUGUUGUGCAUUUUCUAUAGGUAGGCUAGUGGAGUCUUAUGGCCAUGGGAGAGACUAGACGCAUGCUAGGGGAAAUUUGGGAGGUUAUUACCUUGAACAAAUGGGUUCAGAGGGCAAUGAUGCCUCGCCAUUCAUGUAUACCUACUUGUUAUUGUAUCUCAUAUAUUAUCUUGUUUACAUUCAUUUGCACUCUUAUUGAGUCUUUAUGACUCAUGAGGUUUUACCUCGUGUUGUAGAUGUUGCAAGUCCAGAUGCAAGCAAGGAUUAUGUUGGGAGGUUGAAGUGGUGACUAGUGUUGUUGCUGCAUUAUAAAUUUUAUUAUCUCCUGUAUGUAUUCAUGUGGUGGUAUGUAUACGUCCUUGUGGGUGACUGUGUAUGUUGUUGGGCACUGAAUGGUAUCCCGUUUGUUGUAAUCGGUAUAAUGUAGUAUUGACUGUGUAGACUUCUGGUUGAUAAUAGCUUAUUUGGUGGAGCCAAGUUUUAGGAUCGGGUAAGAAUCAAAGAGGUACUUCCCAUAAAUCCCCAAUACUCAGUAGAUAUUUGUUGUGCUAGUUUUGUGCCUGGGUCACCUUUGGCUUGUGGUGAGACGAGCUGAAGAAAGGUGAAGCUCACUCGAGUUUCGGGUCCCAUUCAUUGUGUUUCUUUUUAUGUUUUGGGACCCACUUCUCGAGUGGAGCGAAGGGAAGGACGAAGCCUAGCCCCACCUAGGACGUUUCCUGAUGAAACAUAGUCCAUCUCUUCAAUUGGUUUGGUGUUGUGUGUGAGUAAUCUGGUUAAUUAUUCACUGGUAGCGCCCAUAGGUGGGAGCGGGCCGUUACACCUACCCUCUAUGACGUAGGGAAUUUCAUCAACAAAUACCCCGAAGAAAUGGUGGCCCUCAUAGCAUUAAUGAGGGAACGUCCCAGGAUCAUGUUGUAGGUAGGGGAGAAAGUCUUGACUACCAUGAAGUUAACUUGCCAAGUGAUCACUUGGGGGUAGUUCCAGAGUGUAGUUAUAACACCCCAUAUUUUUGUGAAAUUGCCAUGUAUUUUAAGUGAGUUUAAAAUACCAAAAAAUAUGUUUGAAAUGGCAACAAGUGACCGAAUCAGUCGCAAGGAGUACCCUAGAGCUUAGAUACCUAAGGUUAAAGGUAUAUUUUUGACGAGCAUCUCGAGGCGAGAUUUAUGACGCUGAAAGAAAUCAAAUCAGAAAUGGUUUUCGGUUAAGCUAAGUUGUAGCCUAAAAAGAUCGAAUGAUGGUAAGGGGCUUCCGAAAAAUCGUAUAUAUUUAGUAAUUUUGAGUUAUUAAUUUUGGGAUUUUAAGUAUCUCGAUAAAUUUGAUGUCUGAGGGUGUAAUUGUAAUUAGAGAAUUUUCCAAACAAAAUAAGGAUAAAAAUUAAGAGCUUAUGUGGUAAAAUGUUAAAGUUGAGGACUUGAAAUAAGGGCCAAAGUGUUAUUUGAAAGAAGUUUGGGGUUUUAGCUUGGAUUUCAAAAGAUCAAUUCAUUCUAUUUUUGGAUUUCAAAAGCCACUCAAUUAUGGCUUUGAGUCUUUGGAGUCCAUGGCUAAGAUUUUGACAAGUGGCAUAAUAUGAUUGGUUUGAGAAAUCUAUAAAAAGGCACCAUGGGUUCUUCUCAAAUCAUUCCAACCAAGUUUGAGGAGUGAAGCACUCUAAGAGGAGGAGCUUGCUCUAAAGAGAGAGAAGGGAGUUCGGUAAGAAGGCGGGAAGAAAGCGACGAAGAAGCGGCGGAGAAUGAGCCUCAUCGGAGUUGCGGGUCUUCGCCGAAAUUUUCCAAAAUCAGUCAGAAAAAAAGCGAGGUAAGUCCUUUUUUUUGAUAUUCUUGUAGAGGACGAAGAGAGGGUCACGUAGGUUCAAACGGGGGUCGAAUCGGAGUUAAAAUGAGGAAGUUAUGGCCGAAAUACCAACCCGAGGCGAAGUAGUCCGAGACUGCUGUGCAGCGCUUGAGAUACACGCGCCGGAUAAUAGCUGCGCGUGAGGGCGCGUGGCUAGCCUUCUUGGGGCGUGUGAGGGUGCGUGAGGGGUCCUUUUGCCAUGAAAUUUUCCAGUUAUGCCCCUAAUUUAAUACCCUUCAACCCUAUGUAAAAAUAUUUAAGGUUAGGUUUACCAAAACGCAUGUUUUCUGCAGAAACCUAGGCCGUUUGCUGUGAAAUUAUACCGUCGAAGAGAUAAACCAACAAGGUGAGACUCCUAUACUCCAAAUCCUAUUUUUUAUUCUCUUAUGAGAGACUUCUAUUGCAUGAGACGUGUUUCGUGAAGUUUUUACACAUAAACGCUUGUUAUUCUCUUACGUGAAAUCAUGAUGCUUAUAUGAAAUGUAUUUUUCUGAAAAUUAUAUGCUGUUGGCUUUUUAACUGUUGCAUUUAUAAAAUUCGUGUGGCUAUACUGUUGUAUCUAUUUGUUGUUGGUCGAGGGAAAAAGUCGGAUAUCUCCCGAGAGGCGCUAUGCGUGCGCUAUCGAGAAAGCUCUCGUGGGAAAGACCGUGAGCCUAAGGAACAACGGAUGUGGUGUUUGCAUGAGUGCUAUGAGGUCGGGCCGAAGUGACACGGUUAGGGACCUCCCGAGAGGCGCUAUGCGUGCGCCAUUGAGAAAGCUCUCGUUGGAGGAGGCUAACGUGUUCACGAGGCACUUUGGAGUAGUUCUCGUUAUCUUCUCAUACAUUUUAUACCUGAUCAUGCAUCGAUAUAAACUAUUUUUUUGGAGUUUUUCACUAAAAGAUUCAUCCUCUAAUUGGACUAUGUCCCUGGAAUAUUCAAACGUUCUAGGUUCGACGAGCGACUCUAAAGGAAAAGAGGUAGCAGAAGAAUAAGCUUAAUUUACUGUUGUUGUAUGUUUAGCAUAUUUUUGCUUAUGUGCGAACUUAUGUAAUUUUGGAUAUGUUUAAAAUGUUCAAUUAUCACUUGCGAGAGAUGAUGUAAUACAUUUUGUAAACGUCUUAAACAAUUUUAUGAUAAAUAAAGCGUUAUGGUUGUGAACCAUAUCAGGUUCGAUCUAGCUUCCGCAUUUGAAAUUUUAACACCUGUCUUAGCUAUUUAAUAUUGGGUUUGUUAAGUUGAGAAGGUGAAAAUUAGGUUUUUUUGGGGAUAUUGUGUGAUGUAUGGCAGUGAUUGUGGUAUGAAAAAUUUUUAUAUUCCCAAAAUCCUAAGUUAUAACACGCUCAAGAAAAUUGGGGUGUUACAGUAGUGGGUAGCUGAACCGAUCCCACCAUUGGUAUCGCUUCUCCCAUGAAGCUAUACAAAGGGAAAGUGACUGUGUUUAGUCGGUUAUGAGCGAUAUGCAUAUUCUCAAAGCAAUUCUAGUAUAACAGAUUGACAGAGCUUCCGCUAUCCACCAAUAUUCUUGUUAGGUUUGAAAAGUCUACGGUAAGUACUAAGAGGGGUGAACUGGUAUAUUUAAAAAAAAUUCUUUUGAUAAAAAGAGAUGUCGUCUAUGAAGAUUACGACUUUGUUAAACCUCAAAACCUUGAAAUGGCACGAUGAAGUAUCAACCGUAUUUAAGACAAUCUCAUUUUGAUAAUGGAUAACACAAGAACGAAAAAUAUGAAAUCUUUCUUAAUGAAAAAUUUAAAUAUACGAACCAAGAAAGAAAUAACGAAAUGCUUAAAAGAAUGAAGAGGUAAAUGUCACAAGCACAAAAGAACACAAGGAAUUAUAGUAGUUCGGCUUAACUAACCCUAAUCCACUACCUUACCUUCUCACUAAGGAUUUUCAAGCAAAAUACUAUAACUCUCCUACCGCACUGGAUAAGCCCUCUAGCACUAAGUUAGGAAGAUACAAACCUCUUGCUUGAACAAGCAAGCCUUCUAGGCAAAGCUAGGUAUCCCAAAAACCUCCUACAAACAAAGUAGGCCCUCUAGAAAGACAAGCUAGGAUAAUGCAAAUUGUUACAAUAUACGAGAGGAUUUGAGAAACAAUAUUCUCAGUUACAAGUUCUCUUAAAGAUUAAGACAAGGCAUGAAAAAGAAUUACACAAGAUAAAUAUAAUGCCUUUAAAAGAGAACAACUUUACCAAUGAAGCACAAACGAUGAUUUUAGCACUUGGGAGCUUGUAGAUUGAUUGCUUGGGGUAUUUUGAAAUCGCCAAAUGACUUAAAUGUAUAGCCUCUUGAAAGCCUAUGCUUGAAUCAGGCUGUUGUUAGUGGAGAGAGCACUUGAGUGGAAAAGAUGAACUAGCUGUUAUGUGUCUCUGUGAAGCAAACAAUCGACAGAUGCAAGGCAUCAGUAGAUAGAUCAUUUGAGACGUUGACAGUUCCUUGUGCAAGUAUUCUGUUGGUCGACAAAUUCAUAGACAUCGAUCGAUAGAUGGCUUGCCCACCAAAGAAGCAACAAGGAAUGUCAUUCUGCCGGUCGACAGAUGCAAGAGCAUCGGUUGAUAGUUCCUUGUGAAGAUAUAAGAUUGGUAACAGAUGUUUAAACAUUGGUCGACAGAUGAAACCAUACUUUGGAAGAGAUAUACUGCUAGUCGACAGAUGCGUAGGCAUCGAUCAAUAGAUGCAGGUCAAUACAAAGGAUCGAUCGAUAGAUUACAAGGAAACUGUUGACAGAUGAAGGUCUUUCAAUUGACAAUCAUUCUGCCAGUCAACAGAUGAAAACCAUCGGUUGACAGUUGAGCCAAAAUUUGAAAAAUGGUUGACAGGUCAUAUUAACUAGUCGACAAAUGGCUUACUGAAUUUUGAAACAAAUGCUUCUUUUUGGAAUGAAAUGACUAACGGCUUUUACAACCUUUAGAAAAAGAUUAUGCUUUGAAGAUAUUUUGAUUUUGAUAAUGACAAACUGUUUUCAAUAGAAGAGAUUUUGUAAAAGCAAGAGAUGUUUUUCAUCAUUAAAACUAAAGUCUUUAUAUUUGAAUCAUAUAUCUAUCAUGUGAUUCAUCAAUUCUCUUAAUAGGGUGCUUAGCAAUAAUAGCGAAUAUAACCAAAGGAUAAUCAUGAGGGAGCAGCACAUCCCCUUCAUCUUCAGGUGUGAAAAUGAUGGGAUCUUCGUCUUCUUGAACUUUUGCCACCGAGUCCAUGUGCAACACGUGCAUAGGCCUUCUUGGUGGACGAGGAAUCGCUUGCCAAAUUUUCUCCCCUUGAGAUCACGUGUAUCCUCUCCAUAACGGGCUUGUUGUCACUUUCUCUUGGGCUUGAUCCAACUUCUUCUUUCCUCGGAUUGUUUCUUUCCCCUUCCCUCUGUCGAGGCUAUUAGUUUUCCCUUUUGCUCGAGGCAUCAUUCUUAGGAUGAGAAGGCCUCCUCUGAUUAUUUCUCCUGGAUCCGUCUCCCUUACUCUAUUGAUUUUUUGGCUAAUACAAUAUAAAUCGAUCAAGCUUCCCAUCCUAUAUCAGUUGCUCAAUCUGGUUACAUAACUCUCGUCAGUACUCUAUAGUGUGUUUCGGGGACUCGUGAAAUUUGUAGAAAGUAUCAAUGUUCCUGUCCAUAAGCUGGCUGGAAUGUGGAGGAAAGUUAAUGAGCCAGGUGUGUGCAAUGGAUGACAGGAUAGCAGUUGUUCAUGAUUUUAUAUAACCCACGAAUAACACGCAAGUAUAUGCGGUCAAGAUAAGUAAAGUGAUGAAUAAGAUAUUGUUUCCACUGAGAUUGGUUACUAACCUUUUAAAUACUAAAAUUAUUCACAAUUAACUAUAUUUGGACAAUUGAUUAAUUAAGAAAAUUAAUUUGUAACACCCCAUCUCCUAGAACUGUCUGAGAAGAGGUGUUACGGAUAGAAUAGAUAAAAUAAACUAAAACUCUCUGAUAAACUAAAAUCUGAUACCAUAACUGAACAUCUCAAUCAAAUUGAAAUAAAAACUCUGAGUCAAUAUAAACUGAAAACCAUAAUCUCUGUUUAAGGGACAAUCCCUCAACUGAAAUAUAAAAUAAUCCUAAACUGACAAGAUACUAUAAAACUAACAACUCCCAGACAUCUUUGGUCUUGAGCUGCUCCACGUACACUGAUAGCAUGCAUAUUUAUACCAUAUUUUGGCAUUUCACUUCAUUCUUUUUAGGCCAUUUGAAGUAAUUUUUGCUGAUAUUUCAUUGUUUUUAUUUUAUUAUGCUUCAAAUUGUCCUUACACUAUUUUCUAUCUUACUUCUAUG
Diospyros lotus (date-plum) is the source of this 16419-nucleotide RNA transcript. RefSeq lists it as uncharacterized. The record is from RefSeq and is a predicted model, not a curated record. The transcript is spliced from 3 exons. NCBI's taxonomy places the organism in Eukaryota, Viridiplantae, Streptophyta, Magnoliopsida, Ericales, Ebenaceae.